Oncorhynchus tshawytscha (Chinook salmon) is the source of this 790-nucleotide long non-coding RNA. Lineage: Eukaryota; Metazoa; Chordata; Actinopteri; Salmoniformes; Salmonidae. The record is from Ensembl.
UGAAACCAUAGGUCUGAUACCAUGUGAUGUUAUGAAACCAUAGGUCUGAUACCAUGUGAUGUUAUGAAACCAUAGGUCUGAUACCAUGUGAUGUUAUGAAACCAUAGGUCUGAUACCAUGUGAUUGUAUGAAACCAUAGGUCUGAUACCAUGUGAUUGUAUGAAACCAUAGGUCUGAUACCAUGUGACUGUAUAAAAUUAAUUUGAAUCAAUAGAUUAUUAUAAUACAUGUGUGUAAGUGUUAGACUCAUUCGAUGAUUAUAUUAUAAUACUGUGUGUGGUUUUAGUCAGAAUCAACAUUUUGGGAACAAUGUGUCUAGUGUUUUGAGAACAGACUGUCUGUCUGUGCCAGAUCCGGGGAGACCUUGGCUGGACACUUCCCAGUCCCAGGUCUCUCCCUAUCUUAGGGGUGGGUGGGAAGACACUAUUCUCACGUUCUCCCCUAGGCUCUAAUGGCGGGCGGAUUUGAUGGUUGGUGUGGAAGUAUGUGUGUCGCUAUAAAUUGAAGGUCCUGUACACGUCAGAACGUUCCCGUGAAUAAACAUUUAACUUUGGUAGACUGGGCCUCUGUCCGUUUCCUUUUCUAUCAGUAUCUUACAAAUCCUGAUAUAACAGACUAAGGGUAACUGAAUUGGUAAAUGAACAGGAGUAUAGAAUUCUCCUGACAAGACUUCACACAGUACAGUAGGUAGAGGAAAUAAAGGUGUGGUCAGAAUAAUAAACCCCCCUUGGUAUAUGUUUAUGAUAGUCCAGUUUUGUCCAUACGUAGUGGAGACCCCACCUGUUUUGAG